RNAcentral lists this ribosomal RNA (468 nucleotides) under uncultured bacterium. RNAcentral describes it as "partial 16S ribosomal RNA". It matches the Rfam family "Bacterial small subunit ribosomal RNA", at positions 28 to 507 of the family's 1533-position model. The record is from RNAcentral.
GACGAACGCUGGCGGCGUGCUUAACACAUGCCAGUCGAACGGAAAGGCCCUGCUUUUGUGGGGUGGUCGAGUGGCGAACGGGGGAGUAACACGUGAGUAACCUGCCCUUGACUGUGGGAUAACUUCAGGAAACGGGGGAGAAUACCGGGGAGGAGCUCUUGCUGCAUGGUGGGGGUUGGAAAGUUUCGGCGGUUGGGGCUGGUCUGGCGGCUUAUGAGCUGGUUGGGCGGGUAGUGGCUGUCCAAGGUUUUGACGGGUAGCCGGCCUGGGAGCCUGGCCGGGCACCUUGGGCCUGCGGGACGCACCAGACGCCUACGGGCGGCAGCGGUGGGAAAUAUGACACAAUGGGGGGAAGCCUGUUGCAGAGACGCCGCGUGCGGGAUGCCGGCCUUCGGGUUGUGAACCGAUUUCGCAUGAGACGAAGCGUGAGUGACGGUAAUGGGUAAAAAAGCACCGGCUAACUACGUG